RNAcentral lists this ribosomal RNA (228 nucleotides) under uncultured eukaryote. RNAcentral's name for it is "partial 18S ribosomal RNA". It matches the Rfam family "Eukaryotic small subunit ribosomal RNA", at positions 1208 to 1456 of the family's 1831-position model. The record is from RNAcentral.
GGGAACCUCACCCGGCCCGGACACCGCGAGGAUUGACAGACUGAGAGCUCUUUCUCGAUUCGGUGGGUGGUGGUGCAUGGCCGUUCUUAGUUGGUGGAGUGAUUUGUCUGGUUAAUUCCGAUAACGAACGAGACUCUGUCCUGCUAAAUAGUGACGCGGUUCAUCGAACCGUGGGCCACUUCUUAGAGGGACUAUCGGAUUCAAACCGAUGGAAGUGUGAGGCAAUAA